AAUUUGACAUGAAAAUCCAUGCAAUACUAUGUAUGCAAUACUAUCUGUCUUGCUGUGAUAUUUCAGGCUGUAACUUGCGUGCAACAUUCCAUGUCCCUUGUGAACAGUGGGACAGCACAAACACUCUACAUUGUUUUCAUGAACAGUGCACAAUUGUCAAGGACUGCGAAACAACCUCAUGCUGCUCUUUUUGGUGCCUAUGUCUGCGUAAAAUAAGAAAAACACACCCUUCUGCUGGGUUGGGAGUGAGUAAGUAAACAACCUGCUCCCAGUGGCAGCUCCGCUAACCUGUACAUCGUCCAUUACUCAUACUCCGGCUCAAGUGGUUUCUCCCUGGUUGUGAGCUAGUGACUGACGUAAAGAGAGACAGAGAAGGCUGAGUGUCCAGUAGAAGAGAAUUAUGGAAGAUCACCCCUGCACUUCAACCCCAUGCGAACACACCAUGCGCUCGUGCGGCACCGCUGUCUCUUAGCAACGCGGGCGGAAGCAGCGGCCACAUCAAUCAGAUGGGUGGACUACAAAGACGGGGAAAGCCAAAAGGAAUACCACAC
Long non-coding RNA from Ictalurus punctatus (channel catfish), 551 nucleotides. The record is from Ensembl. NCBI's taxonomy places the organism in Eukaryota, Metazoa, Chordata, Actinopteri, Siluriformes, Ictaluridae.